RNAcentral lists this unclassified non-coding RNA (390 nucleotides) under soil metagenome. RNAcentral describes it as "partial contains 5.8S ribosomal RNA, internal transcribed spacer 2, and large subunit ribosomal RNA". The stretch from base 1 to 120 matches the Rfam family "5.8S ribosomal RNA", at positions 35 to 154 of the family's 154-position model. The record is from RNAcentral.
GAUGAAGAACGUAGCGAAAUGCGAUAAGUAAUGUGAAUUGCAGAAUUCAGUGAAUCAUCGAAUCUUUGAACGCACCUUGCGCUCCUUGGUAUUCCGAGGAGCAUGCCUGUUUGAGUGUCAUUAAAUUCUCAACUACACCAUUUUGUUUAACAAAGUGCUUGUGUAGCUUGGAUGUGGAGGCUUUGCAGGUCCGCACCAGCGGUCUGCUCCUCUGAAAUGUAUAGUGGGUUGUGCCCCUAAUCUAUUGGUGUGAUAAUUAUCUACGCCGUGGAUUUUGGGCUACACUAGACCUGCUUCUAACCGUCUCGUCAAGGGACAAACUAUUGACAUUUUUGACCUCAAAUCAGGUAAGACUACCCGCUGAACUUAAGCAUAUCAAUAAGCGGAGGA